Molecule: long non-coding RNA, 228 nt
Organism: Sinocyclocheilus grahami
Lineage: Eukaryota; Metazoa; Chordata; Actinopteri; Cypriniformes; Cyprinidae
Exons: 3
Source: RefSeq, a predicted model, not a curated record
CCGUGGUGCACUCUGUGCGCACACUGCCUGGAUAUGAGGAUGUGGACCUGCGGCUGAAGUGGCCCAAUCACAUCUACUACAGUAACCUGAUGAAGCUUGGCGGGGUUCUGGUCAACUCCAUCGUCACGGGGCAAACCUUCAGCCUUCUGAUCGGCUGCGGCUUCAAAGUGAGCAACAGCAACCCGACCGUCUGCAUCAAUGACUUGCUGUGGCAGCAGAAGCUGGAUC